GCAGUUUCUAAAAGAGCUUGAUCUGAGAGAGAAUAAGAUUGGAGACUCAAAGCAGAAGAUCAUUGAUGUGCUACGAGACUCAAACUGUGAACUGAGUAUAGAUACAGAUCCAUCACCAGAAGACCCCAAAAGAGAUCCAUCACCAAAAGCUGAUGAAUGCAGUAUCUCAUAAAGUGAAGUGAUCUUGAGAGGAGAAGUAAACAUCAGCUGAAGAUCCACAGAAGAGCUUCACUACUGUGUCUAUGAGGAGAAAUAAAUGUGUGAUAAAUGUGUAAAUGUGAUCCAUACAGGUGAAGAGACUCAGACUUUACAAUCAAAUAAUGCAGCAUGUGUGUUAGAAACAUGAUAUUGAAUGAUUAAUGUUGCUUUAGUAUUCAAGCAGAUGAUCAUUGUGUUAAAUGUAAAGCUGGAACAGAGGAGGAAGAAGCUCAGAUGAGUCUGUCUGGCUCUUCAGUUUAAUAAUAUUUCUAUUAAACUCAUUCAUAAUGAUUCAGAUGUUUAAAUGUGAUUGUCAAGUGCAGCACUUAAAUGUGUCAAAAGAUAUAAAGCAAAUCUACACUGUGUGAAACUUAUCUCAUGUUUUCUACACAUUAUUAUUCUAUUUUACUUUAUAUUUAGUUGUGUGUCUGUUGUUAAUGUACAUAUAUCCAGUAUAUAGUCUCUCCUUCAUCAAAUCAACUAAACAUUUUCACAAGUUAACAGCAUUUGUGUCUUUCACUCUCCUCUAAAUACUCAAACACAUUUAGUCUUUUUAACACUUUUAUAUUUUCAUGUAAAUAAAAUGCCACAUACAGUUAAAAACAA
Carassius auratus (goldfish) is the source of this 804-nucleotide long non-coding RNA. RefSeq lists it as uncharacterized. Lineage: Eukaryota; Metazoa; Chordata; Actinopteri; Cypriniformes; Cyprinidae. The record is from RefSeq and is a predicted model, not a curated record. The transcript is spliced from 2 exons.